This 275-nucleotide ribosomal RNA is filed under the name uncultured bacterium. Its description in RNAcentral is "partial 16S ribosomal RNA". It matches the Rfam family "Bacterial small subunit ribosomal RNA", at positions 399 to 691 of the family's 1533-position model. The record is from RNAcentral.
GCGUGAGUGAUGAAGGCCUUAGGGUUGUAAAGCUCUUUCAAUGGUGAUGAUAAUGACAGUAGCCAUAGAAGAAGCCCCGGCUAACUUCGUGCCAGCAGCCGCGGUAAUACGAAGGGGGCUAGCGUUGUUCGGAAUUACUGGGCGUAAAGCGCACGUAGGCGGAUUGAUCAGUUGGGGGUGAAAUCCCGGGGCUCAACCUCGGAACUGCCUUCAAUACUGUCAAUCUAGAGGUCGAGAGAGGUGAGUGGAAUUCCGAGUGUAGAGGUGAAAUUCGU